This 661-nucleotide ribosomal RNA is filed under the name uncultured Haplosporidia. RNAcentral describes it as "SSU rRNA". It matches the Rfam family "Eukaryotic small subunit ribosomal RNA", at positions 1109 to 1799 of the family's 1831-position model. Lineage: Eukaryota; Endomyxa; Ascetosporea; Haplosporida. The record is from RNAcentral.
GGACUCGGGGGGAAGUAUGCUCGCAAGAGUGAAACUUAAAGGAAUUGACGGAAGGGCACCACAAGGUGUGGAGCCUGCGGCUUAAUUUGACUCAACACAGUGAAACUUACCAGGUCCAGACAUAGCAAGGAUUGACAGACUGAAGGUCUUUCUUGAUUCUAUGCAUGGUGGUGCAUGGCCGUUCUUAGUUGGUGGAUUGAUUUGUCUGGUUAAUUCCGAUAACGAACGAGACCUUAGCCAUCUAACUAGCCGUCGUUACUUCGGUAGCGUUUGUUCGCAAGUUCGGCUUCUUAGAGGGACUAUCUGCGCACAGCAGAAGGAAGUUUGAGGCAAUAACAGGUCAGUGAUGCCCUUAGAUGCUCUGGGCUGCACGCGCGCUACAAUGGCAAACCCAAAGAGUUCACCCUGGCCUGAAAAGGCUGAGUAAUCUCCAAAGUUUGUCAAAGUUGGGACAGACGAUUGCAAUUUUUCGUCUCGAACAAGGAAUAUCUAGUAAACGUGAGUCAUCAACUCGCAUUGAUUACGUCCCUGCCCUUUGUACACACCGCCCGUCGCUCCUACCGAUUGAAUAACGAGGUGAACUGAGUGGAUAGUGAGACAUUUGUUUUGCUAGAAACUCCGUGAACCUUGAUAUUUAGAGGAAGGACAAGUCGUAACAAGG